CUCAGAAUAGUUUAAAUAGAAUACUAGCUUUGGGAGUUAGUGGUGAGAGUUGAAAUCUCCCUUCUUUGA
This 69-nucleotide transfer RNA is filed under the name Trichopodus leerii (pearl gourami). RNAcentral describes it as "tRNA-Pro". It matches the Rfam family "tRNA". From Rfam's summary of the family: Transfer RNA (tRNA) molecules are approximately 80 nucleotides in length. Lineage: Eukaryota; Metazoa; Chordata; Actinopteri; Anabantiformes; Osphronemidae. The record is from RNAcentral.